UGUGAGCUCGAUGAGUAGGGCGGGACACGUGGUAUCCUGUCUGAAUAUGGGGGGACCAUCCUCCAAGGCUAAAUACUCCUGACUGACCGAUAGUGAACCAGUACCGUGAGGGAAAGGCGAAAAGAACCCCGGCGAGGGGAGUGAAAAAGAACCUGAAACCGUGUACGUACAAGCAGUGGGAGCACGCUUAGGCGUGUGACUGCGUACCUUUUGUAUAAUGGGUCAGCGACUUAUAUUCUGUAGCAAGGUUAACCGAAUAGGGGAGCCGAAGGGAAACCGAGUCUUAACUGGGCGUUAAGUUGCAGGGUAUAGACCCGAAACCCGGUGAUCUAGCCAUGGGCAGGUUGAAGGUUGGGUAACACUAACUGGAGGACCGAACCGACUAAUGUUGAAAAAUUAGCGGAUGACUUGUGGCUGGGGGUGAAAGGCCAAUCAAACCGGGAGAUAGCUGGUUCUCCCCGAAAGCUAUUUAGGUAGCGCCUCGUGAAUUCAUCUCCGGGGGUAGAGCACUGUUUCGGCAAGGGGGUCAUCCCGACUUACCAACCCGAUGCAAACUGCGAAUACCGGAGAAUGUUAUCACGGGAGACACACGGCGGGUGCUAACGUCCGUCGUGAAGAGGGAAACAACCCAGACCGCCAGCUAAGGUCCCAAAGUCAUGGUUAAGUGGGAAACGAUGUGGGAAGGCCCAGACAGCCAGUAUGUUGGCUUAGAAGCAGCCAUCAUUUAAAGAAAGCGUAAUAGCUCAUUGGUCGAGUCGGCCUGCGCGGAAGAUGUAACGGGGCUAAACCAUGCACCGAAGCUGCGGCAGCGACGCUUAUGCGUUGUUGGGUAGGGGAGCGUUCUGUAAGCCUGCGAAGGUGUGCUGUGAGGCAUGCUGGAGGUAUCAGAAGUGCGAAUGCUGACAUAAGUAACGAUAAAGCGGGUGAAAAGCCCGCUCGCCGGAAGACCAAGGGUUCCUGUCCAACGUUAAUCGGGGCAGGGUGAGUCGACCCCUAAGGCGAGGCCGAAAGGCGUAGUCGAUGGGAAACAGGUUAAUAUUCCUGUACUUGGUGUUACUGCGAAGGGGGGACGGAGAAGGCUAUGUUGGCCGGGCGACGGUUGUCCCGGUUUAAGCGUGUAGGCUGGUUUUCCAGGCAAAUCCGGAAAAUCAAGGCUGAGGCGUGAUGACGAGGCACUACGGUGCUGAAGCAACAAAUGCCAUGCUUCCAGGAAAAGCCUCUAAGCAUCAGGUAACAUCAAAUCGUACCCCAAACCGACACAGGUGGUCAGGUAGAGAAUACCAAGGCGCUUGAGAGAACUCGGGUGAAGGAACUAGGCAAAAUGGUGCCGUAACUUCGGGAGAAGGCACGCUGAUAUGUAGGUGAAGCGACUUGCUCGUGGAGCUGAAAUCAGUCGAAGAUACCAGCUGGCUGCAACUGUUUAUUAAAAACACAGCACUGUGCAAACACGAAAGUGGACGUAUACGGUGUGACGCCUGCCCGGUGCCGGAAGGUUAAUUGAUGGGGUCAGCGCAAGCGAAGCUCUUGAUCGAAGCCCCGGUAAACGGCGGCCGUAACUAUAACGGUCCUAAGGUAGCGAAAUUCCUUGUCGGGUAAGUUCCGACCUGCACGAAUGGCGUAAUGAUGGCCAGGCUGUCUCCACCCGAGACUCAGUGAAAUUGAACUCGCUGUGAAGAUGCAGUGUACCCGCGGCAAGACGGAAAGACCCCGUGAACCUUUACUAUAGCUUGACACUGAACAUUGAGCCUUGAUGUGUAGGAUAGGUGGGAGGCUUUGAAGUGUGGACGCCAGUCUGCAUGGAGCCGACCUUGAAAUACCACCCUUUAAUGUUUGAUGUUCUAACGUUGACCCGUAAUCCGGGUUGCGGACAGUGUCUGGUGGGUAGUUUGACUGGGGCGGUCUCCUCCUAAAGAGUAACGGAGGAGCACGAAGGUUGGCUAAUCCUGGUCGGACAUCAGGAGGUUAGUGCAAUGGCAUAAGCCAGCUUGACUGCGAGCGUGACGGCGCGAGCAGGUGCGAAAGCAGGUCAUAGUGAUCCGGUGGUUCUGAAUGGAAGGGCCAUCGCUCAACGGAUAAAAGGUACUCCGGGGAUAACAGGCUGAUACCGCCCAAGAGUUCAUAUCGACGGCGGUGUUUGGCACCUCGAUGUCGGCUCAUCACAUCCUGGGGCUGAAGUAGGUCCCAAGGGUAUGGCUGUUCGCCAUUUAAAGUGGUACGCGAGCUGGGUUUAGAACGUCGUGAGACAGUUCGGUCCCUAUCUGCCGUGGGCGCUGGAGAACUGAGGGGGGCUGCUCCUAGUACGAGAGGACCGGAGUGGACGCAUCACUGGUGUUCGGGUUGUCAUGCCAAUGGCACUGCCCGGUAGCUAAAUGCGGAAGAGAUAAGUGCUGAAAGCAUCUAAGCACGAAACUUGCCCCGAGAUGAGUUCUCCCUGACUCCUUGAGAGUCCUGAAGGAACGUUGAAGACGACGACGUUGAUAGGCCGGGUGUGUAAGCGCAGUGAUGCGUUGAGCUAACCGGUACUAAUGAACCGUGAGGCUUAACC
RNAcentral lists this ribosomal RNA (2545 nucleotides) under Escherichia coli. Its description in RNAcentral is "bacterial LSU rRNA". It matches the Rfam family "Bacterial large subunit ribosomal RNA", at positions 398 to 2925 of the family's 2925-position model. Lineage: Bacteria; Pseudomonadati; Pseudomonadota; Gammaproteobacteria; Enterobacterales; Enterobacteriaceae. The record is from RNAcentral.